This 23-nucleotide non-coding RNA is filed under the name Cricetulus griseus (Chinese hamster). Lineage: Eukaryota; Metazoa; Chordata; Mammalia; Rodentia; Cricetidae. The record is from RNAcentral.
CUCGCUUAGCAUGCGAGAGGUAG